This 1115-nucleotide long non-coding RNA is filed under the name Lactuca sativa (garden lettuce). RNAcentral's name for it is "long non-coding RNA (LSAT_LNC008701)". Lineage: Eukaryota; Viridiplantae; Streptophyta; Magnoliopsida; Asterales; Asteraceae. The record is from RNAcentral.
CCAAGUCAACCCCCUCUGAUGGUGGUCAGCCAACUGUUACUUUGCCUUCUGCUACCCUGUCUGUGCCACCUGGUUUUCAGCCACCAGCCAGUCAUCCUCCUGGCUUUCAGCCAACAGUCGCUCCUCCUCCUGGUUAUAAACCACUCACCUCCCCCCCUCCGGGCUAUCAACCAAUCACCACCACCCCUCCUGGUUAUCAACCGAUAGCCACACCCACAGCCACUCCUCCACCCCCCGGAUUCCAACCUAAAAUCAGUCCAUCUCCUCAGGCCACCACCAUCACUCCUUUAUCUACCUCUACCCUCCCUCCUACUUCUGAACCAACAACCACCAUGACUCCUCCCAACCAGAAUAUCCCACCGAGUAAUCCCACUCCUAGCACUCUUUCAACCCCUACAUUACCCGUUUCAAUCCCAGUGUUCUCUCCAUCCUCUCAUGACUCAGAGUCUGCUGUAUCUCCAUCAGUGACACCUGGGAGUGGUAGGGGUAGGGGUAGAGGUAGGGGUCGGGGUCGGGGUAGACCACGAGGUAGAGGUAGAGGCCGUGGUCAAAUAAUUGGAAGUAGUGGAGUUGAUGAGGCUGAGGCUGAGCCACAGCCACAGCCACAGCCACAACCCCAGCCCCAACAUACAGUUACAAAGCAACAUCAUGUGGUAUUAGCUAUGCCAGGUCUUCGGACAUCUUCUCUAAUCAACAUGUCAGAAACACUUCCCUCCACCACCAAUGAGCCUCUAGUUUCCACCUCAACUGCUGUCAGUAACACUCCAGCAGCAGCUCCAGGGACUGUUAGUAUACCUGCUGUAACAGUAACACCACCCCCUUCUGAAAACUUGAAAUCUGAUAUACCGAUACCAGAACCAUCUGUCCCUGUUGAAUCUGUACCUACAUCUUCUACUUUGCCGGAAGUCAGUCAGGCUGUGCCGGAUACUGAUGUGGGGGCUACACCACCACCACCGCCAGUUUCUGUUGAUUCUCAGGUCACCGAGCUUCAAACUACGAGUGCUCAGGCAGCCGCUCCAGUUACCACUGAGCCUGAAACAGCAACCCCAGUUGCCACCGGGGUUGAAGAAUUGAGUUCUCCAGCAUCCACCACGACACCACCACCGCCACCGGUG